UACAGAGGGUGCGAGCGUUAAUCGGAGUUACUGGGCGUAAAGGGCGCGUAGGCGGUUUAGUGAGUGUGAUGUGAAAGCCCUGGGCUUAACCUAGGAAGCGCAUCGCAAACGACUAAACUGGAGUAUAAGAGAGGGUGGCGGAAUUUCCGGUGUAGCGGUGAAAUGCGUAGAGAUCGGAAGGAACGUCAAUGGCGAAGGCAGCCACCUGGCUUAAUACUGACGCUGAGGCGCGAAAGCGUGGGGAUCAAAC
This 250-nucleotide ribosomal RNA is filed under the name uncultured bacterium. Its description in RNAcentral is "partial 16S ribosomal RNA". It matches the Rfam family "Bacterial small subunit ribosomal RNA", at positions 524 to 773 of the family's 1533-position model. The record is from RNAcentral.